AAUCGCGAAAUUACCUCGAACUACGUGCACCCAAAAACUUCCAAACACUCUACUACAAAGCCACCGAAAAUACGAAGCUCCCGCACUUCAAAUCACCUAAUUCGGACAAAAGAUGAGAGAGUUAUGAGGGUUUAAGUUUUGGGAAAUGUUGCUGGUUUUCUGCAUUAAAUAGCAGAUUUGCUGCUAAUUUUUUCCAAAACUAAAAACUCCGACAGAGUGCUCUGAACUCGUUCGGAACCCCGUGCACGCAAAUGAGAUAUGCAACCAUACCAAAUUCGAUAUUCCGGAUUCAACGGCGCAGUCGAAAUUUCCAUCAGAGGUAAUCUCGAUAAAAAGUGGAUCCCACUUCCAAAAGCCAUUUUAAGUCAAAACCCACAAAAGGGCUCGGAAAGAUAUCGAAAACCUCGGGACACAAAAGAAGGGUCAAUCUAGACCAAACUCGACAUUCCGGAGCUAACCGCUCUGACGGAAUUCUCAUCCGAGAGCGUUUACUCAGAAUGUUGACCAAAGUCAAACUUAGGCUUAAACUUAAAGUUAAAACGCCUAAUCGCACCGACUCAUACUGAAAACCUCGGGAGUCAUGUCGACCAUACUACUAGCCUAAAAUGACCCUUUCGGAGCUGAUGGAAUUGUCAGAAUUGGAUUCCGAUGUCAUCUUCUUGAACUUUUGAUCGAAAUUGAUCGUUCAAGGUUCAUAAGCUCCAAAACACAAAAAACUCGCACCAAGACCAAAACGAAAGACCAGGUGACCGAACUGUCAAUCCCAGCAAGUCAUAAAUGACUUGGGGUCGCUACAGGAACGCUCUAAAUGACACACAGAAGGCAAGACACAGAAAUGACCUGGAGGGUCAUUACAAAGGCAUGAUUUUCAAGAAAGCUAUCAGUGAAUAAAACAACAAAAACAGGGGCUUGGAUAAAAUAAGAAUAGAUUACACCAUGAUAAGUAAUAAGCAAUCAACAUAGCUCAAAAUAUAAAGAGAGCCUGUCAUACUAGACAAAUAUCCCACUUUAUGCAAUAACAAAACUAAAUUUAUCCAUGAGGACCUAAAUAUGACAACUUGUUAUAUUAGAGGGUCAAGAUAUUGGGGGUAAUAGCCAACUAAUCAUCGGAAGAAAAUAGUUGAUCAGUUGUGAACCAUAUUCAAAAAAAAUUGACUAGCAAGACAUCUUCUUGGAUGUUAAACCAAUAUAAAAUGUGCAAGUUAGAGUCUGUAAUACAAGCUAAUUCAUCAAACAAAAUCAGAAACUCAUAACGACAAAAUGACAAUGACUAACAACGAAGAACAACAAGUUAGAAACAAUAGAUUAAACCAACAGAAGGAAAGGAAGAAGUUACCUGUUUUGGAGCAGCAAACUGGAACAACAGCACUGCAGAAGCCCUCCACCACUAAGCUUCAAGAAUUUCGACAUAAGCGACGAACAAGAAUAAGAAAGUAGAAUCGAUUUCGGGUGUGUUUUGCUUUGUGACUUGAUGCUAAACUUUGUGAGUUUGCUCCCUUUGUAAGCUAUUUUCUAGACCUCUAUCAACUACCCAACCUUUUCUUUGUUUUUGCCUAAGCUGUUUCCAAACUGAAGAGAAAACGACCUGGAGGAUAGGGUUGAUUUAGAGGGGAAAACGGGAGACAUUUUGAAUGAAAUUCGAAAUUCGAAUUCCCUUGGAAGUUAAGAAAACUUGUACCAUUCUCAACGGAAAAAUGAAGGGAUUCGAGCAAAGGACGAUUGAGGCAUCAAGAUGCAAACACCUGGCUUACUCCCGUACGGAGAGGAUGACACGCACUGCUCACUGGACUCGGACGCGCUGGAUUUUCCUGGGUUUCAUUGUGGUCGCUGCGCGAGGAAGAAUAAACGUAGGC
RNAcentral lists this long non-coding RNA (1853 nucleotides) under Solanum tuberosum (potato). RNAcentral describes it as "long non-coding RNA (STUB_LNC004747)". The record is from RNAcentral. Lineage: Eukaryota; Viridiplantae; Streptophyta; Magnoliopsida; Solanales; Solanaceae.